GUAGCCUGUCUAGUAGUCGACUUCCGCUAAUGUGGAUCGUUCCCUGUGAUUGUGAAAACGACGACAAGGAAGAUUACAAAGGUUCUUUUUUACAAAUAGAUUAGGCCUAUAGAGUACAGUAUUGCAUCAGUACAAAAAUACUUCGUCGAGGGUGCAAGAUUAACAUACCGGACGAAAGAUCUGUAAUAAAAUCGCUUUGUUUGUUUACGAAUUAAGAAAAAAACCGACAGAAUUGAUAUUUUAUAAUGAUAAUUAAACCAUUUUGUAGUCGUGAAGAAUUUAAUUUCGUAGCUCUGGUACUCUAGUAGCUUCCUGUGUAAAGUAAAAAUAUGUUUAUUAUUGCAUUAAAUCGAUAAAUUUUAUUAAAUUUUUGAGAAAGACAUAUUUACCUGGGGUUGGUCAGAGCAACGAGGGACGAAGCUUUACGUCAGAGCAUGAUUGAAGAAACGAAAGGAAAACUAAAAAAUCCAGCAACGAGGUGUAUAACUUUACCGGCUGUUGUGAGAUUUUAUUAAAAAUGUAAUUUUUAUAUUAUUAAUCAAAUAAAUAAAGUUGCU
Molecule: long non-coding RNA, 557 nt
Organism: Centruroides sculpturatus (bark scorpion)
Lineage: Eukaryota; Metazoa; Arthropoda; Arachnida; Scorpiones; Buthidae
Exons: 4
Source: RefSeq, a predicted model, not a curated record